RNAcentral lists this ribosomal RNA (434 nucleotides) under uncultured Oscillospiraceae bacterium. Its description in RNAcentral is "partial 16S ribosomal RNA". It matches the Rfam family "Bacterial small subunit ribosomal RNA", at positions 341 to 792 of the family's 1533-position model. The record is from RNAcentral. Lineage: Bacteria; Bacillati; Bacillota; Clostridia; Eubacteriales; Oscillospiraceae.
ACGGGAGGCAGCAGUGGGGAAUAUUGGGCAAUGGGCGAAAGCCUGACCCAGCGACGCCGCGUGAGCGAUGAAGAUCUUCGGAUUGUAAAGCUCUGUGUACAGGGACGAUAAUGACGGUACCUGUAUAGAAAGCCACCGCUAACUACGUGCCAGCAGCCGCGGGAAUACGUAGGUGGCAAGCGGUAUCCGGAUUUACUGGGUGUAAAGGGUGUGUAGGCGGGGGAGCAAGUCAGAUGUGAAAGGUGUGGGCUCAACUCACAGACUGCGCCCGAAACUGUUCUUCUUGAGAGUCGGAGGGGUAAUCGGAAUUCCUGGUGUAGCGGUGAAAUGCGUAGAUAUCAGGAGGAACACCGGUGGCGAAGGCGGAUUACUGGACGACAACUGACGCUGAGACACGAAAGCGUGGGGAGCAAACAGGAUUAGAUACCCUGGUA